UACGUAGGGGGCUAGCGUUGUCCGGAUUUAUUGGGCGUAAAGAGCGUGUAGGCGGCCUGGUAGGUCUGGUGUGAAAACUCGAGGCUUAACCUCGAGAUGUCAUCGGAAACCAUCUGGCUAGAGUCCGGAAGAGGAGAGUGGAAUUCCUGGUGUAGCGGUGAAAUGCGCAGAUAUCAGGAAGAACACCAAUGGCGAAAGCAGCUCUCUGGGACGGUACUGACGCUGAGACGCGAAAGCGUGGGGAGCGAACAGG
This 253-nucleotide ribosomal RNA is filed under the name uncultured bacterium. RNAcentral's name for it is "partial 16S ribosomal RNA". It matches the Rfam family "Bacterial small subunit ribosomal RNA", at positions 524 to 776 of the family's 1533-position model. The record is from RNAcentral.